GACAUGGCUAAAAUCCUGACUCGGGAAGGUGAUGUAUUUUAUUAGAUUAAAAACCAAUGCCCUCUGGGCUCCUUGGUGAUUCAUGAUAACUCUUCGAAUCGCACGGCCUUGCGCCGGCGAUGGUUCAUUCAAAUUUCUUCCCUAUCAACUUUCGAUGUUUGGGUAUUGGCCAAACAUGGUUGCAACGGGUAACGGAGGGUUAGGGGCUCGACCCCGGAGAAGGAGCCUGAGAAACGGCUACUACAUCCAAGGAAGGGCAGCAGGCGCGCAAAUUACCCAAUCCCGAUUCGGGGGAGGUAGUGACAAUAAAUACUGAUACAGGGCUCUUUUGGGUCUUGUAAUUGGAAUGAGUACAAUUUAAAUCUCUUAACGAGGAACAAUUGGAGGGCAAGUCUGGUGCCAGCAGCCGCGGUAAUUCCAGCUCCAAUAGCGUAUAUUAAAGUUGUUGUGGUUAAAAAGCUCGUAGUUGAACCUUGGGCCUGGCUGGCCGGUCCGCCUCACCGCGUGCACUGGUCCGGCCGGGCCUUUCCCUCUGUGGAACCCCAUGCCCUUCACUGGGCGUGGCGGGGAAACAGGACGUUUACUUUGAAAAAAUUAGAGUGCUCCAGGCAGGCCUAUGCUCGAAUACAUUACCAUGGAUAUGAAAUAGGACGCGUGGUUCUAUUUUGUUGGUUUCUAGGACCGCCGUAUGAUUAUACGGACAGUCGGGGGCAUCAUAUUCAAUUGUCAGGUGAAAUUCUUGAUUUAUGAAAACU
RNAcentral lists this ribosomal RNA (755 nucleotides) under Cordyceps cicadae. Its description in RNAcentral is "SSU rRNA". It matches the Rfam family "Eukaryotic small subunit ribosomal RNA", at positions 168 to 937 of the family's 1831-position model. The record is from RNAcentral. Lineage: Eukaryota; Fungi; Ascomycota; Sordariomycetes; Hypocreales; Cordycipitaceae.